CCUGGUGCAUAGUGACAGGUUUUAAGAGGUAUCACACACCAGGUCAUUCCUCUAACUAAACCUUGGGUGACCGGGUGCCUUUUUUUCCUGCUAGAGUCCUGAUCCCCGCCUAUUUCACUGUAUCUGCUUUUCUAUUCAUAGCACUUACCCAUCUGAUGGGGCGACCAAGAGCAACUACUACUGUCAUCCAAUAUAAAUAAAUCAUAUUGUAGAAUUGCGGUCAUGCCCAACUGCUCACGCACUGGCCUUCUCAUGUACUUUCUUGCUAGCACUCU
Long non-coding RNA from Perognathus longimembris pacificus (Pacific pocket mouse), 275 nucleotides. RefSeq lists it as uncharacterized. The transcript is spliced from 3 exons. Lineage: Eukaryota; Metazoa; Chordata; Mammalia; Rodentia; Heteromyidae. The record is from RefSeq and is a predicted model, not a curated record.